CGGAGGAAAAGAAACCAACAGGGAUUGCCCUAGUAACGGCGAGUGAAGCGGCAACAGCUCAAAUUUGAAAUCUGGCUCUCGGGCCCGAGUUGUAAUUUGUAGAGGAUGUUUCUGGCGACGUGUCUUCCGAGUUCCCUGGAACGGGACGCCAUAGAGGGUGAGAGCCCCGUCCGGUCGUACGCCUAGCCUCUGUGAAACUCCUUCGACGAGUCGAGUAGUUUGGGAAUGCUGCUCAAAAUGGGAGGUAUACGUCUUCUAAAGCUAAAUACCGGCCAGAGACCGAUAGCGCACAAGUAGAGUGAUCGAAAGAUGAAAAGCACUUUGAAAAGAGGGUUAAAUAGUACGUGAAAUUGCUGAAAGGGAAGCGCUCAUGACCAGACUUGGGCUCGGCGAAUCAUCCGGCGUUCUCGCCGGUGCACUUUACCGGCCCAGGCCAGCAUCAGCUCGCCCCGGGGGAUAAAGGCUUCGGGAAUGUAGCUCCCUCGUGGAGUGUUAUAGACCGUUGCGUAAAUACCCUGGGGUGGGCUGAAGGUACGCGUCUGCAAG
RNAcentral lists this small RNA (546 nucleotides) under Waltergamsia pilosa. RNAcentral describes it as "eukaryotic LSU rRNA". It matches the Rfam family "Eukaryotic large subunit ribosomal RNA", at positions 51 to 609 of the family's 3401-position model. The record is from RNAcentral. Lineage: Eukaryota; Fungi; Ascomycota; Sordariomycetes; Hypocreales; Bionectriaceae.